GGGUUGUGAGGUUAAGCGACUAAGCGUACACGGUGGAUGCCCUGGCAGUCAGAGGCGAUGAAGGACGUGCUAAUCUGCGAUAAGCGUCGGUAAGGUGAUAUGAACCGUUAUAACCGGCGAUUUCCGAAUGGGGAAACCCAGUGUGAUUCGUCACACUAUCAUUAACUGAAUCCAUAGGUUAAUGAGGCGAACCGGGGGAACUGAAACAUCUAAGUACCCCGAGGAAAAGAAAUCAACCGAGAUUCCCCCAGUAGCGGCGAGCGAACGGGGAGCAGCCCAGAGCCUGAAUCAGUGUGUGUGUUAGUGGAAGCGUCUGGAAAGGCGCGCGAUACAGGGUGACAGCCCCGUACACAAAAAUGCACAUGCUGUGAGCUCGAUGAGUAGGGCGGGACACGUGGUAUCCUGUCUGAAUAUGGGGGGACCAUCCUCCAAGGCUAAAUACUCCUGACUGACCGAUAGUGAACCAGUACCGUGAGGGAAAGGCGAAAAGAACCCCGGCGAGGGGAGUGAAAAAGAACCUGAAACCGUGUACGUACAAGCAGUGGGAGCACGCUUAGGCGUGUGACUGCGUACCUUUUGUAUAAUGGGUCAGCGACUUAUAUUCUGUAGCAAGGUUAACCGAAUAGGGGAGCCGAAGGGAAACCGAGUCUUAACUGGGCGUUAAGUUGCAGGGUAUAGACCCGAAACCCGGUGAUCUAGCCAUGGGCAGGUUGAAGGUUGGGUAACACUAACUGGAGGACCGAACCGACUAAUGUUGAAAAAUUAGCGGAUGACUUGUGGCUGGGGGUGAAAGGCCAAUCAAACCGGGAGAUAGCUGGUUCUCCCCGAAAGCUAUUUAGGUAGCGCCUCGUGAAUUCAUCUCCGGGGGUAGAGCACUGUUUCGGCAAGGGGGUCAUCCCGACUUACCAACCCGAUGCAAACUGCGAAUACCGGAGAAUGUUAUCACGGGAGACACACGGCGGGUGCUAACGUCCGUCGUGAAGAGGGAAACAACCCAGACCGCCAGCUAAGGUCCCAAAGUCAUGGUUAAGUGGGAAACGAUGUGGGAAGGCCCAGACAGCCAGGAUGUUGGCUUAGAAGCAGCCAUCAUUUAAAGAAAGCGUAAUAGCUCACUGGUCGAGUCGGCCUGCGCGGAAGAUGUAACGGGGCUAAACCAUGCACCGAAGCUGCGGCAGCGACGCUUAUGCGUUGUUGGGUAGGGGAGCGUUCUGUAAGCCUGCGAAGGUGUGCUGUGAGGCAUGCUGGAGGUAUCAGAAGUGCGAAUGCUGACAUAAGUAACGAUAAAGCGGGUGAAAAGCCCGCUCGCCGGAAGACCAAGGGUUCCUGUCCAACGUUAAUCGGGGCAGGGUGAGUCGACCCCUAAGGCGAGGCCGAAAGGCGUAGUCGAUGGGAAACAGGUUAAUAUUCCUGUACUUGGUGUUACUGCGAAGGGGGGACGGAGAAGGCUAUGUUGGCCGGGCGACGGUUGUCCCGGUUUAAGCGUGUAGGCUGGUUUUCCAGGCAAAUCCGGAAAAUCAAGGCUGAGGCGUGAUGACGAGGCACUACGGUGCUGAAGCAACAAAUGCCCUGCUUCCAGGAAAAGCCUCUAAGCAUCAGGUAACAUCAAAUCGUACCCCAAACCGACACAGGUGGUCAGGUAGAGAAUACCAAGGCGCUUGAGAGAACUCGGGUGAAGGAACUAGGCAAAAUGGUGCCGUAACUUCGGGAGAAGGCACGCUGAUAUGUAGGUGAAGCGACUUGCUCGUGGAGCUGAAAUCAGUCGAAGAUACCAGCUGGCUGCAACUGUUUAUUAAAAACACAGCACUGUGCAAACACGAAAGUGGACGUAUACGGUGUGACGCCUGCCCGGUGCCGGAAGGUUAAUUGAUGGGGUCAGCGCAAGCGAAGCUCUUGAUCGAAGCCCCGGUAAACGGCGGCCGUAACUAUAACGGUCCUAAGGUAGCGAAAUUCCUUGUCGGGUAAGUUCCGACCUGCACGAAUGGCGUAAUGAUGGCCAGGCUGUCUCCACCCGAGACUCAGUGAAAUUGAACUCGCUGUGAAGAUGCAGUGUACCCGCGGCAAGACGGAAAGACCCCGUGAACCUUUACUAUAGCUUGACACUGAACAUUGAGCCUUGAUGUGUAGGAUAGGUGGGAGGCUUUGAAGUGUGGACGCCAGUCUGCAUGGAGCCGACCUUGAAAUACCACCCUUUAAUGUUUGAUGUUCUAACGUGGACCCGUAAUCCGGGUUGCGGACAGUGUCUGGUGGGUAGUUUGACUGGGGCGGUCUCCUCCUAAAGAGUAACGGAGGAGCACGAAGGUUGGCUAAUCCUGGUCGGACAUCAGGAGGUUAGUGCAAUGGCAUAAGCCAGCUUGACUGCGAGCGUGACGGCGCGAGCAGGUGCGAAAGCAGGUCAUAGUGAUCCGGUGGUUCUGAAUGGAAGGGCCAUCGCUCAACGGAUAAAAGGUACUCCGGGGAUAACAGGCUGAUACCGCCCAAGAGUUCAUAUCGACGGCGGUGUUUGGCACCUCGAUGUCGGCUCAUCACAUCCUGGGGCUGAAGUAGGUCCCAAGGGUAUGGCUGUUCGCCAUUUAAAGUGGUACGCGAGCUGGGUUUAGAACGUCGUGAGACAGUUCGGUCCCUAUCUGCCGUGGGCGCUGGAGAACUGAGGGGGGCUGCUCCUAGUACGAGAGGACCGGAGUGGACGCAUCACUGGUGUUCGGGUUGUCAUGCCAAUGGCACUGCCCGGUAGCUAAAUGCGGAAGAGAUAAGUGCUGAAAGCAUCUAAGCACGAAACUUGCCCCGAGAUGAGUUCUCCCUGACUCCUUGAGAGUCCUGAAGGAACGUUGAAGACGACGACGUUGAUAGGCCGGGUGUGUAAGCGCAGCGAUGCGUUGAGCUA
RNAcentral lists this ribosomal RNA (2881 nucleotides) under Escherichia coli. RNAcentral describes it as "partial 23S ribosomal RNA". It matches the Rfam family "Bacterial large subunit ribosomal RNA". The record is from RNAcentral. Lineage: Bacteria; Pseudomonadati; Pseudomonadota; Gammaproteobacteria; Enterobacterales; Enterobacteriaceae.